GUCAAGAUCAAUAGUUUGAUUAAUAUUUUGAGAUUUUAAAAUAGCUUUAAGAAGUAAUUAAAUUUUACUUAAAAUUUUUUUUGGAUUUGAUUUAGGAUUUAGGUUUUAAUUUAAGAUUUAGGAUUUGAUUUAGAUUUGGUAUAAGAUUUGAUUAGGAUUUUUUUAGGAUCCAAUUAGAAUUUAAUUAGUAUUUGAUUAAGAUUAGUAUUUAAAUUUUAUUUAAAAUUUAAUUAAAGUUCUAUUUGACUUGGUAGGAUCUUAUCAUUAUAUUUUUUAUUUGUCUUCUAUAAAUAGGUAUUUGGUGCAUUCUCAAGUAAGAUAUCAUGUUACACAAUAAUGAGCCUAACAAAAAUGAUGUUAAACUUUGAAUAAUAUAAAUAAUUCAUACUAUACUUGAAAUUAGUGUGCAUAUUUGUCAAAAAUCAAUUUUUACAUUAUUGGAGUUGUAUAUAUGCUGUAAUUAAUUAUGCAUCGAGAAAUUAGGGAGUUAUUAGAGUGAGAUUGGAAGGUAGAUGAAAUAUAAGAUAUUAUUUGGAGAUGAGCAAAAAUAAUGAAGAAUGGUGGAAAAAAUCCAAUUCAAAUAUGCUAGAUUACUUACAAUUGGAUGUUUGGAUUUUUGUUGCCUUAUCCUCACAUUCACAUCUGUGGAUAGCACAAAACUUUGUGAAGUUUGUUAGCAUUAAUAAGUACUAUCCAUCACAAUUUUCUAAAAAUUGGAUUUUUGAUUUUAUAACC
RNAcentral lists this long non-coding RNA (735 nucleotides) under Physcomitrium patens. Its description in RNAcentral is "long non-coding RNA (PPAT_LNC003389)". Lineage: Eukaryota; Viridiplantae; Streptophyta; Bryopsida; Funariales; Funariaceae. The record is from RNAcentral.